Molecule: ribosomal RNA, 253 nt
Filed under: uncultured bacterium
Lineage: Bacteria
Description: partial 16S ribosomal RNA
Rfam family: Bacterial small subunit ribosomal RNA
Source: RNAcentral
UACGUAGGGUGCGAGCGUUAAUCGGAAUUACUGGGCGUAAAGCGUGCGCAGGCGGUUGUGCAAGACAGAUGUGAAAUCCCCGGGCUUAACCUGGGAACUGCAUUUGUGACUGCACGGCUAGAGUGUGUCAGAGGGGGGUAGAAUUCCACGUGUAGCAGUGAAAUGCGUAGAGAUGUGGAGGAAUACCGGUGGCGAAGGCGGCAUCCUGGACCGGCAUUGACGCUGAUGAGCGAAAGCUAGGGGAGCAAACGGG